RNAcentral lists this ribosomal RNA (251 nucleotides) under uncultured bacterium. RNAcentral describes it as "partial 16S ribosomal RNA". It matches the Rfam family "Bacterial small subunit ribosomal RNA", at positions 524 to 775 of the family's 1533-position model. The record is from RNAcentral.
UACGAAGGGGGCUAGCGUUGCUCGGAAUCACUGGGCGUAAAGGGUGCGUAGGCGGGUCUUAAGUCAGGGGUGAAAUCCUGGAGCUCAACUCCAGAACUGCCUUUGAUACUGAGGAUCUUGAGUUCGGGAGAGGUGAGUGGAACUGCGAGUGUAGAGGUGAAAUUCGUAGAUAUUCGCAAGAACACCAGUGGCGAAGGCGGCUCACUGGCCCGAUACUGACGCUGAGGCACGAAAGCGUGGGGAGCAACAGG